AUUGAACGCUGGCGGCAUGCUUUACACGUGCAAGUCGAACGGCAGCGGGGAGGUGCUUGCUUCUCUGCCGGCGAGAGGCGUACGGGUGAGUAAUACAUCGGAACGUGUCGAGAGGAGGGGGAUAACCACCCGAAAGGGUGGCUAAUACCGCAUAAAUUCUGAGGAAGAAAGCUGGGGACCUAGGAAUAGGCCUAGCGCUUUUUGAGCGGCCGAUGUCGGAUUAGCUAGGUGGUGAGGUAAAGGCUCACCAAGGCGAAGAUCUGUAGCGGGUCUGAGAGGAGGAUCGGCCACACUGGGACUGGGACACGGCCCAGACUCCUACGGGAGGCAGCAGUGGGGAAUUUUGGACAAUGGGGGCAACCCUGAUCCAGCCAUGCCGCGUGUAUGAAGAAGGCCUUAGGGUUGUAAAGUACUUUUGUUAGGGAAGAAAAGCCAGCUGUGAAUAAUGGCUGAUACUGACGGUACCUAAAGAAUAAGCACCGGCUAACUACGUG
RNAcentral lists this ribosomal RNA (494 nucleotides) under uncultured bacterium. RNAcentral's name for it is "partial 16S ribosomal RNA". It matches the Rfam family "Bacterial small subunit ribosomal RNA", at positions 30 to 507 of the family's 1533-position model. The record is from RNAcentral.